This 253-nucleotide ribosomal RNA is filed under the name uncultured bacterium. RNAcentral describes it as "partial 16S ribosomal RNA". It matches the Rfam family "Bacterial small subunit ribosomal RNA", at positions 524 to 776 of the family's 1533-position model. The record is from RNAcentral.
UACGUAGGGGGCAAGCGUUGUCCGGAUUUAUUGGGCGUAAAGAGCGUGUAGGCGGCCGCACAGGUCCGUUGUGAAAACUGGAGGCUUAACCUUCAGACGUCGAUGGAAACCGUGCGGCUAGAGUCCGGAAGAGGAGAAUGGAAUUCCUGGUGUAGCGGUGAAAUGCGCAGAUAUCAGGAAGAACACCCGUAGCGAAGGCGGCACUCUGGGCCGAUACUGACACUGAGGAGCGAAAGCGUGGGGAGCGAACAGG